Molecule: long non-coding RNA, 784 nt
Organism: Carassius gibelio (silver crucian carp)
Lineage: Eukaryota; Metazoa; Chordata; Actinopteri; Cypriniformes; Cyprinidae
Exons: 5
Source: RefSeq, a predicted model, not a curated record
UUACAGGCUUAAUAAUGCUUCAGUGUGUGGUACUCCUCAAAACACGGGACAGCACACAAGGGAGUGUUGGAUGGCACACACAUGUGCUUGGUGAGGCGCCUCUGCUUGCCCUUGCGUGUGCUGGAGAGGCAGACCUUGCAGUGCCGCCUGGUCUUGCUGCCCUGGGAAGUGGUCUGAGGGACUUCAGAUGGGAAAUGCCUGGCUGUAAGGCGCAGAGGAGUGUCCAAGGCAGGACGCCCGCCUUUGGUUGGACCUCGCAAUGUGCUGUACUCCUCCAGCAGCCCUCUCAUCAGCACACAGACUGGCUUCAUCAUUGGUUGCCCAGUGAGGUGAUCCAGCUUGCCUGUGGCUGCCAUACCAGUUGGAUGGACUGUGGUGAACUUUGGCAUCCCUUUUCUGUGUCCGCGCACGGUCCCACAAGCUCCAGUGCCAAGUGACAAGAGGUGCUGGAAAAGUGUGGGACUACUGUACCAGUUGUCAACAUAUAGAACAUGACAUUUGCUCAAGUAAGGUGCUAAGAGUGUCAUCACAACGGACCCAGAAAUCCCAAGUCCUGGAUGGAAUGAACUGACGAAAUGCCAGCCUGCCUUUCCACUUCAUCAGAGACUCAUCCACACACAGAUCCCUGUAUGGCACAAAAAUGCGACGAAAAGAGGAGGAACUGGUGUCAUCUCUUCGUCUUCAAAGUUGUCCAGAGCUUCAAGAUUUGGGGGAAGAUCCUCAUCACUGUCACUCUCUGCCUCGCUGUCAAAAAUCUCCUCAUCAGAAUUAAAAAAAAAUUCCU